RNAcentral lists this transfer RNA (95 nucleotides) under Chloroflexota bacterium. RNAcentral's name for it is "Chloroflexi bacterium tRNA-Sec". It matches the Rfam family "Selenocysteine transfer RNA". RNAcentral also lists the same sequence under 1 other name. The record is from RNAcentral. Lineage: Bacteria; Bacillati; Chloroflexota.
GGGAGCGGAUGGGGCCUGGUGGUCCUCGCGGGCUUCAACCCCGUCGCCCGGCGGUCUGCGCCGUCGGGGGAGGGUUCGACUCCCUCCCGCUCUCG